Molecule: ribosomal RNA, 239 nt
Filed under: uncultured bacterium
Lineage: Bacteria
Description: partial 16S ribosomal RNA
Rfam family: Bacterial small subunit ribosomal RNA
Source: RNAcentral
GAUCCUGGCUCAGGGUGAACGCUAGCUACAGGCUUAACACAUGCAAGUCGAGGGGCAGCAUGAACUUAGCUUGCUAAGUUUGAUGGCGACCGGCGCACGGGUGAGUAACACGUAUCCAACCUGCCGAUGACUCGGGGAUAGCCUUUCGAAAGAAAGAUUAAUACCCGAUGGCAUAGUUCUUCCGCAUGGUGGAACUAUUAAAGAUUCAUCGGUAUGCGAUGGGGAUGCGUUCCAUUAGG